ACAUACGACCAUAGACUCAAGAGAACUGGGCAUCCCGUCCGCUCUGCCAUACAUAACCUUGAGAUCGGUGGAUUAGUAGUUGGGUGGGUGACCACCAGCGAAUACCCACUGUUGUAUGUA
Pseudogymnoascus sp. 05NY08 is the source of this 120-nucleotide ribosomal RNA. NCBI's taxonomy places the organism in Eukaryota, Fungi, Ascomycota, Leotiomycetes, Thelebolales, Thelebolaceae. The record is from Rfam.